This 467-nucleotide ribosomal RNA is filed under the name uncultured bacterium. RNAcentral's name for it is "partial 16S ribosomal RNA". It matches the Rfam family "Bacterial small subunit ribosomal RNA", at positions 28 to 506 of the family's 1533-position model. The record is from RNAcentral.
GACGAACGCUGGCGGCGUGCUUAACACAUGCAAGUCGAACGGUGAUGCUCCAGCUUGCUGGAGUGGAUCAGUGGCGAACGGGUGAGUAACACGUGAGCAACCUGCCCCAGACUCUGGAAUAAGCGCUGGAAACGGCGUCUAAUACUGGAUACGAAACUGGCCCGCAUGGGCAUGGUUUGGAAAGUUUUUCGGUUUGGGAUGGGCUCGCGGCCUAUCAGCUUGUUGGUGAGGUAAUGGCUCACCAAGGCGACGACGGGUAGCCGGCCUGAGAGGGCGACCGGCCCCACGGGGACGGGGACGCGGCCCAGACCCCUGCGGGGGGAAAGGGGGGGGAAUUUUGCAAAAGGGGCGAAACCCUGGUGCAGCGACCCCGGGGGGGGGAUGACGCCCUUCGGGUUGUAAACCUCUUUCAGCAGGGAAAAAGCGAAAGUGACGGUACCUGCAGAAGAACCACCGGCUACCUACGU